Long non-coding RNA from Cryptomeria japonica (Japanese cedar), 1274 nucleotides. RefSeq lists it as uncharacterized. The transcript has 3 exons. The record is from RefSeq and is a predicted model, not a curated record. NCBI's taxonomy places the organism in Eukaryota, Viridiplantae, Streptophyta, Pinopsida, Cupressales, Cupressaceae.
CAACGGAUGCAUAAAUAUCCUGCCCAUCGGCAGGAACACCUCCCAAGAUAGAAAAUGCAGAGACAUCUGUCGUGCUAGUGAGGUUGCAUCAUUAAUGGAUAAACCUCUGGCCAUUUUUCUGCAUUAUGCAGUCCAGUGUGUCGUAGCGCUAAACCAUGUAAAUCACGUCCAUUCCUCUUUCUGGGCGCGUUCAUUAAUGGCUAGCUUGGGAUUUAAUCUGGUUUAAAUAUAGGUAUGCUAAUAGUGUAUGCCCAAUUGUAAUUUUUUCCCCUGAUCUUUUUAACCCCUAUUAAUAGUGCAAACUCCUUCAAAUCGUUGGACGUGUAAAGGUCGCUGUAUUCUCCCAAAUUUCAAUUUCAUGGUUUGCGUAUAUCAAUCUGAUGUUUGAAUAAAUAUAUUCAACUGUAUCCUGUUAGACAUUAUCUCUGGGUGGAUGCUUUUUUACCAAGAUCGUAAGUUUCAUGAUAAUGUCUCUUUUAACAAAGCAAACGGCUCCGAUUUGGUUCAGUUUUCCCAAAGUCAGUUGCUAGGAAGAGUAUUUGGGCGCCUCUGAUGCUCUGAAGCUCCGCCUGCGAAGAUUUUCAGGAGUCCGGCUCAUUUAUUGCUGUUGGAGGCUUCCAUGGGUAGUCAUACAUCACGCCUUGCUGUUCCUUUGGGUAUGCGGGUUUUAGCAAUCUUACGAUGUUGCUUGAGGAGUGGCAAUGGUUCUAAAAGCGUGCAGCUUGGAAUGGCAUUAAUGCUGUUUAAGCAUCUACACAGAAAGAAUUAAAUUUUCACCCGUAAAAAUAAGAAGGGAAUAGCACUUACAGUGGAUUAUUGGAGGCAAUUACGAAGGGCUGUGGGGUAAGACAAGGCUGUCCGCAUUUUAAUUUUUUUGGAUUAAAGGAUGAAACACAAACUUUAGUGAAGGAUCCUUCUUCCCUCUUGCUGGGGGAGUUGAAUAUUUUUCGAAGAGGUCAGGCUGUGCUGAUCGACAAUGACUUGCUUAAUGCAUGUUCAAGAUCUUAUCAGGCACCUUUGCUUAAUAUUAUUGUUUUUGGAAGAAUAUGGGCUCUUUGAGUCUUCUGACUUGUUCAGAUGUUAUCUUUUCUAGCCUUUGUAGUUCAAUAUUUUCCAUGUAACUCUGCUGUUAACGGUAUGUAGCUCUCACGCUAUUUUGUCUAGCAUAACAGGCAUGUGUUCUCAAAAUGGAGCAGAAUUUUUUUGAAUCUUUAUUAUAGUAGACAUUCCUAUCCAUAUUUAUAUGGCAUAGGAACAAUUGAAUUUCCAAUAAA